This 967-nucleotide small RNA is filed under the name Malus domestica (apple). RNAcentral's name for it is "sRNA MD15G0280700". Lineage: Eukaryota; Viridiplantae; Streptophyta; Magnoliopsida; Rosales; Rosaceae. The record is from RNAcentral.
CAGCAAUUUUACCAGUCUUCUGUUGCUGAUCUUGCUGCUCAUGCAUCAAGAAAUAUUCCACAAUCCGUUGCACAACUUCAAUGUCGUGCAUUGUGCAUUCUUCAGGUGAACUGUACUACACAUUAUGAUAAUUAACAAGAACAUGAAGGUUGGUUAUGCCAGUGAUAUCUAUUGUAUGUUUCCCAUUCAUAGUAAAUAAAGAAUGCAGAAUACUCACUCAACCAGUUUCCCUUGAUCUGCAUUGUAGUACCUAGGAAUCAGCAAAUCGUUCACAUUGGCAUCUUCUAACAUCAUCCCGGCUCUCUUUUCAAGCUCUGAAAUCAACGCUGGUGAUGCAGAGUACAGCAUGGCCAACUUUAACAUCCGCAAUAAGAACUUACAUGGAAGAGCUUUGUUUUGAGGAGGUAGACACUUGGUUAAGCCACCAACCUUCUUGACCGUCUGCAUCCCCAAUGGCGUUUUCUCUGGAAGCCUUCCAAGCGAUUGAGUCACAGCAGCGUCUGACAAUUUGAAGAUUUUCAGCCCACGGAGAGAGAGUUUCACAAGAUUUAAGCACAGCAAUGGUGUCUUUCCGUGAAGAAAGGACAACCAAGGGUUCAAGUCCACUGGAAGACCAUAACAGAAUUUUAAAAUGAUUUCAAAGGUUUCUGAUCCGCCGGGGAAGUUUUCAAGCUUGAGGUCAUAACCGCAAUUUGAAGGUGAAGGAUGAAAUUCCAAUCGACCUAUGUAGCCACAUUUCGAUACCAAAGGAUACUGCAAAAACAAAGAGAAAUGGACCAUGAACUUAUUGACUAGUGUGUAGAUGUGUGUCCAAGUUAUGUCUCGAGCCGUGCAUGCUUGUAUUGCUCUGUAAGUUUACCUUAUGGACGUCGAAGGUGAUGCCUUGAACUUGAAUGGUUAGGUCUGUCGGGACAUGAGAAUUGAUAAACCUGCACGAAUCCACCAAAUAAGUAUGUCGUUACUCGUU